GCCACAUCAGGUUGAAACACCGCUUCCCGUAUGAUCACUCGAAGUUAAGCAACGUAAAGCCUGAUCAGUAGCUAGAUGGGUGACCGCUUGAGAAUACCAGGUGCUGUAAG
RNAcentral lists this ribosomal RNA (110 nucleotides) under Acanthosepion pharaonis. Lineage: Eukaryota; Metazoa; Mollusca; Cephalopoda; Sepiida; Sepiidae. The record is from RNAcentral.